CCUACGGGAGGCAGCAGUGGGGAAUAUUGCACAAUGGGCGCAAGCCUGAUGCAGCAACGCCGCGUGAGGGACGACGGCCUUCGGGUUGUAAACCUCUUUUAGUAGGGAAGAAGCGAAAGUGACGGUACCUGCAGAAAAAGCACCGGCUAACUACGUGCCAGCAGCCGCGGUAAUACGUAGGGUGCAAGCGUUGUCCGGAAUUAUUGGGCGUAAAGAGCUCGUAGGCGGUUUGUCGCGUCUGCUGUGAAAACCCGAGGCUCAACCUCGGGCCUGCAGUGGGUACGGGCAGACUAGAGUGCGGUAGGGGAGAUUGGAAUUCCUGGUGUAGCGGUGGAAUGCGCAGAUAUCAGGAGGAACACCGAUGGCGAAGGCAGAUCUCUGGGCCGUAACUGACGCUGAGGAGCGAAAGCAUGGGGAGCGAACAGGAUUAGAUACCCUGGUAGUCCAUGCCGUAAACGUUGGGAACUAGAUGUAGGGACCAUUCCACGGUUUCUGUGUCGCAGCUACGCAUUAGUUCCCGUCCGUCGGGAGGUACGGCCGCGACGGACGUAAACCUAACAAGAAGUUAGACGGCGUGAGACGUGCCGAACGGACGACCGACGAGGGAGGUAGG
RNAcentral lists this ribosomal RNA (613 nucleotides) under uncultured bacterium. RNAcentral describes it as "bacterial SSU rRNA". The stretch from base 1 to 522 matches the Rfam family "Bacterial small subunit ribosomal RNA", at positions 338 to 873 of the family's 1533-position model. The record is from RNAcentral.